Molecule: signal recognition particle RNA, 263 nt
Filed under: Candidatus Tenebribacter davisii
Lineage: Bacteria; Pseudomonadati; Candidatus Cloacimonadota; Cloacimonadia (SeqCode); Cloacimonadales (SeqCode)
Description: signal recognition particle sRNA large type
Rfam family: Bacterial large signal recognition particle RNA
About the family: The signal recognition particle (SRP) is a universally conserved ribonucleoprotein involved in the co-translational targeting of proteins to membranes. Archaeal SRP consists of a 7S RNA and homologues of the eukaryotic SRP19 and SRP54 proteins. In most bacteria, the SRP consists of a 4.5S RNA and the Ffh protein (a homologue of the eukaryotic SRP54 protein).
Source: RNAcentral
GUGUGCUAGGCGGGAAGGUAGCGGUGUCCUGUAACCCACAAUCCGCUAUAGUGGGGCUGAAUUCCUGUUUGAGAAUAUUGAUUUUCUUUAUUGUGGCAGUAAGUGGUUUUGAGGAUCAAGCCCAGCGCAAUUGUGAGCUUUGAACUGUGUCAGGUCCGGAAGGGAGCAGCACUAAAUUGCUAUCAUGAUGUGCCGCUGGUCUACUUGGUUUGAGCUGGCUGCUGUUUUCAUUAUUGGAAUAGGUAUCGAUUGCAGGUGCACAC